AUCUCCAGCCCCCACCAUGAUACCUGGUGAGUGAUCAGGUCCUGACGAUAUUUGCUAAAGCCUGGAGACUCAUCUCUCUCUCUCUCUCAUCCUUGACUGACUAACUUCUUUGCUUUAUUGCCAGACAAAGCAGGAAGAAUGCCAGCUCUGUAUCACAGGAUUCCUGGGAACAGAACUACGCCCCUGGUGAAGGCUUCCAGAGUGCCAAGGAGAACCCCAGGUAUUCCAGUUACCAGGGCUCCAGGAACGGCUAUCUAGGUGGCCAUGGCUUUAAUGCCAGGGUCAUGCUGGAGACCCAGGAGCUUCUCCGACAGGAGCAGAGGCGAAAAGAGCAGCAACUGAAGAAGCAGCCACCAGCGGAUGGAGUCAGAGGGCCCUUCCGGCAAGAUGUACCCCCGUCUCCAUCUCAGGUGGCCAGGCUGAACAGACUGCAGACACCCGAGAAAGGGCGGCCCUUCUACUCCUGAGCUCAAUGGAGGAUGGCAGCAUUUUGUGUCAUGCAAUAAAGGACAUUUCCCCGUG
Molecule: long non-coding RNA, 522 nt
Filed under: Rattus norvegicus (Norway rat)
Lineage: Eukaryota; Metazoa; Chordata; Mammalia; Rodentia; Muridae
Description: long non-coding RNA NONRATT014425
Source: RNAcentral